AGAGUUUGAUCCUGGCUCAGGAUGAACGCUAGCGGCAGGCUUAAUACAUGCAAGUCGAGGGGUAGCAUGAUUGUAGCAAUACAAUUGAUGACGACCGGCAAACGGGUGCGGAACACGUACACAACCUUCCUACAAGUGGGGAAUAGCCCAGAGAAAUUUGGAUUAAUACCCCGUAACAUAGCGAUGUGGCAUCACAUUGCUAUUAUAGCUUCGGCGCUUGUUGAUGGGUGUGCGGCUGAUUAGAUAGUUGGCGGGGUAACGGCCCACCAAGUCUACGAUCAGUAGCUGAUGUGAGAGCAUGAUCAGCCACACGGGCACUGAGACACGGGCCCGACUCCUACGGGAGGCAGCAGUAAGGAAUAUUGGACAAUGGACGCAAGUCUGAUCCAGCCAUGCCGCGUGAAGGAUUAAGGUCCUCUGGAUUGUAAACUUCUUUUAUAAGGGACGAAAAAAGGUCUUUCUAGAUCGUCUGACGGUACCUUAUGAAUAAGCACCGGCUAACUCCGUGCCAAGCAGCCGCGGUAAUACGGAGGGUGCAAGCGUUAU
RNAcentral lists this ribosomal RNA (546 nucleotides) under uncultured freshwater bacterium. Its description in RNAcentral is "bacterial SSU rRNA". It matches the Rfam family "Bacterial small subunit ribosomal RNA", at positions 8 to 544 of the family's 1533-position model. The record is from RNAcentral.